AUUGAACGCUGGCGGCAUGCCUUACACAUGCAAGUCGAACGGCAGCACGGGAGCAAUCCUGGUGGCGAGUGGCGAACGGGUGAGUAAUAUAUCGGAACGUGCCCGGUCGUGGGGAUAACGUAGCGAAAGCUACGCUAAUACCGCAUACGAUCUACGGAUGAAAGCGGGGGAUCGCAAGACCUCGCGCGAUUGGAGCGGCCGAUAUCAGAUUAGGUAGUUGGUGAGGUAAAGGCUCACCAAGCCGACGAUCUGUAGCUGGUCUGAGAGGACGACCAGCCCCACUGGGACUGAGACACGGCCCAGACUCCUACGGGAGGCAGCAGUGGGGAAUUUUGGACAAUGGGCGAAAGCCUGAUCCAGCAAUGCCGCGUGCAGGAAGAAGGCCUUCGGUGUAACUGCUUUGUUACGGAACG
RNAcentral lists this ribosomal RNA (413 nucleotides) under uncultured bacterium. RNAcentral describes it as "bacterial SSU rRNA". It matches the Rfam family "Bacterial small subunit ribosomal RNA", at positions 30 to 447 of the family's 1533-position model. The record is from RNAcentral.